AUGGCGACAAUACCCGUCAAUCAUCGUAUUGAAAACGAUUUGGUUAAGUCGUACUCCUCUCAACUGCAUAUCUGUCAGCAACAUCUCAGCAGCCUCUAUCUGCCCAAUCUUACAGAACCCAUUGAUCAAUGCUCCAUAAGUACGAUCAUUCGGCUCGAUGCCAUUGCCAACGCAUUCAUCAAACACCUCAGACGCCCUCCGCACAUUCCCAGCCCGACAAUACGCAUUGAUGACCACACUGUAGAAGUAGACAUCGCCUGCGACAUUCUUCCUCUUCAUCUCAUCAAACACGGACUCAACCUUGCUGAUAUCGCCAGCCAUCGACAAACCAUCGACAAGGAUCGUAUACGUCCCGACAGUCAGCUCCACGCCUCCACUCUCCAUCUCCUUCAGCACCUCCGCAACCCGUCCAUCGUUCUUCUGGCGCGUGUAGCUGUCAAGCAGCGAGUUAUAGCAGCACGCAUUGAGCUUCACGCCGUGCCUUGGCAUUUCGUCGAGCAGGCGGCGGGCGUCGUCCAUGCGGCCGGCCUUGCAGAAGCCGUCGACGACGACCGAGGCCGAGAGGGGCGUGAUGGAGCCCGGGGAGAAAGCGAGCGCCUUCCUGAGGAGCUCGGCGGCGGGGAGCAGAUGGCCGGUCCGGCGGAGCGAGAGCAGCGACGAGGUGAGCGAGCGCGGGUCGAGGCUGCCGAGGCGGGAGACGGUGAGGUCGAGCGCCUCGGCCGCGCGUUCGGGGGCGCCCGCGUCUGCGUACGCGCGGAAGAGCAUGUCGUGGAAGGCCGCGACGGCGUGCCGCGGCGCGGCGCGCGGGAGGGAGCCGGCCGCGAGGUCGGCGAAGGGGACCGCGAGAAGGGUGGGGGUGAGGAGGGACGGGAGCAUCGACUUCGCCGCGCCGAAGCGGCGCGCGGCGAGGAGCGACGCGAAGGCGGCGAGCGGCGCCGGCCGCGUCUCGGGGACGGACGCCAUCGUCCGUCGGCGGCAGAGGACGGAGGUGGGGGGAAUGGGACUAGUGACUAG
Molecule: ribosomal RNA, 1014 nt
Filed under: Triticum aestivum (bread wheat)
Lineage: Eukaryota; Viridiplantae; Streptophyta; Magnoliopsida; Poales; Poaceae
Description: partial small subunit ribosomal RNA
Source: RNAcentral